Molecule: long non-coding RNA, 329 nt
Organism: Dermacentor silvarum
Lineage: Eukaryota; Metazoa; Arthropoda; Arachnida; Ixodida; Ixodidae
Exons: 3
Source: RefSeq, a predicted model, not a curated record
UCGUGAACCAGAGGCAUCUCUACACCGCAUAGGAACCUAAGACAUUUCUGCAGCCGGAACAGCACGGCAAAGCAUCUGAUCUGCAUGCUGCGACAAGGUAUGGCUGGGCCUGGUGAUGAAGUGUAAGCAGAACAUGCUAUGCUGCGAAUUGGUGCCAAUCUUCACAUCCGAGUUGUUCCCACGACAGUCAAGCACCACUGUGAUUUGCUUCAUUGGCAAGGUGCCCUGCAAGCUCUCACCAAAGCAACACAUUCCACUGGUUUUCUGUCAGAGUACCAUUAUAGAAUUUUGAAUAAACUAUGCUUGUCAGAUGUGCGACAUGCCCCGUC